RNAcentral lists this unclassified non-coding RNA (528 nucleotides) under Hevea brasiliensis (rubber tree). The record is from RNAcentral. Lineage: Eukaryota; Viridiplantae; Streptophyta; Magnoliopsida; Malpighiales; Euphorbiaceae.
GAGACAACCUUGAUGUCCCAGCUCUACCAUUAUUGUCGUAAAAUCCUUGAUUAGUACUUGCCGGACUGCUUAUACCACUCAUGCCACUGGACAAAUGAUCAGCGUCGUAAGGAUUGUGCUUGGCACCAACUGGGCGUAGCACAGAUGAUGAAGCUCUAGCCUUGGCACCAGCUUUGAUUGCUUCACUAGAAUCUAGUUUCGCCAGCUUCCAUGCACUAAUUCGGACUGGACGGUGGGAUGCCUUUUUGUCCUUGUCUAGUGCAUCAGGAUCAACAGUAGAUGGCAAUCGCCCAGGCUGAAGAUGAGGAAUAAUUUCAUCCUGAUGAUCCAUGAAGAUUCUUGGAGGAGUACACCAAGCACCUUUAUGUUGCAAGCUCAUCCCAACAGAACUUCUUCCACUGAUGGCAGUCACCGCAGAGCUGGUCGGCGAUGAUGGCAAACUCUGCUGAUCACCUCCAUCUACAGAGGGUCCAGGCGGCUCACUUUGAGAUCUCAUUGCAACAACAUACUCAUAUGUUGUAAUACCCU